UACGUAGGGACCAAGCGUUGUUCGGAUUUACUGGGCGUAAAGGGCGCGUAGGCGGCUUGACAAGUCACUUGUGAAAUCUCCGGGCUUAACUCGGAACGGCCAAGUGAAACUGUCAUGCUAGAGUGCAGAAGGGGCAAUCGGAAUUCUUGGUGUAGCGGUGAAAUGCGUAGAUAUCAGGAAGAACACCAAUGGCGAAAGCAGCUUUCUGGGACGGUACUGACGCUGAGACGCGAAAGCGUGGGGAGCGAACAGG
RNAcentral lists this ribosomal RNA (253 nucleotides) under uncultured bacterium. RNAcentral describes it as "partial 16S ribosomal RNA". It matches the Rfam family "Bacterial small subunit ribosomal RNA", at positions 524 to 776 of the family's 1533-position model. The record is from RNAcentral.